UCUAUUUAUAUUUUAAUAAUUCAAAUCAAUUAAGAAGCAGUUCAUUAAAAUCAUUACAUCUUUAUUCAUAAAUAAAGAGAUCAUGGUAAAGUAUGAGUACAUUUCUCUUUCUCUUUUUUUUUUGUUUUAAACAUAAUUGAGAAAAACUAAGAAUCCAACAAAACAUAUCAUUAUUCUUACAAAAGAGAGAAACAUGUUGUACCUGAUAAUUUUAAAUCAGAGUCGAGAACUUUAAAAGAAGAUAACCUACCGUGAUGGUUAGAGACUCGUGCCGAUAACGUGUUAUAAAAUGAAAGCAAUUUAGUAAAACAUAAACAAGAAAUAUGAGCAACUUAGUGAAACAUGAACAAGAAAUAUAGAUAGAGAGAAGGAAGAGAUUUUC
Molecule: long non-coding RNA, 382 nt
Filed under: Nicotiana benthamiana
Lineage: Eukaryota; Viridiplantae; Streptophyta; Magnoliopsida; Solanales; Solanaceae
Description: long non-coding RNA (NBEN_LNC028677)
Source: RNAcentral